ACUAGAUCCUUGCUUGACUUGAGAGGUAUGAGGUUGGAACGGCUGUAGCCAUCUCCAUCUAUUGAGGGAACACGGGUUUGAGAACACAGUCAAGUCAGGACGAGAACAAGAGACGCUGGAUCUUGAGGACAGUGCUUGAGCCCUCGAAUCAAUCAAUGUCUAAACUAAUGGAGGGUCGAUGAAGACAUUUGGCCAGAGGACCCUGAAACACCUGAAUCCCACCUUUGGCUGGCUAGCCCCAUUUCUCAGCAGUGCCUUCACAGGAGCGGCCUGGAGGUUGACAGAACAAGAUGGAAGCCCUUCAAGAAAAUUGUCAAUAAAGAAAGACUGAAAAUGGGCAUAGCUUUCCUGAGGCUUUCCCUUUGCAGUAGCAAAUGG
RNAcentral lists this long non-coding RNA (378 nucleotides) under Homo sapiens (human). RNAcentral's name for it is "HSALNT0174122". Lineage: Eukaryota; Metazoa; Chordata; Mammalia; Primates; Hominidae. The record is from RNAcentral.